GUGCCAGCAGCCGCGGUAAUACAGAGGGUGCGAGCGUUAAUCGGAUUUACUGGGCGUAAAGCGUGCGUAGGCGGCUUUUUAAGUCGGAUGUGAAAUCCCUGAGCUUAACUUAGGAAUUGCAUUCGAUACUGGGAAGCUAGAGUAUGGGAGAGGAUGGGUAGAAUUCCAGGUGUAGCGGUGAAAUGCGUAGAGAUCUGGAGGAAUACCGAUGGCGAAGGCAGCCAUCUGGCCUAAUACUGACGCUGAGGUACGAAAGCAUGGGGAGCAAACAGGAUUAGAUACCCUGGUAGUCC
RNAcentral lists this ribosomal RNA (293 nucleotides) under uncultured microorganism. RNAcentral's name for it is "partial 16S ribosomal RNA". It matches the Rfam family "Bacterial small subunit ribosomal RNA", at positions 505 to 796 of the family's 1533-position model. The record is from RNAcentral.